AUGGGGACUUCAUGUGGCUCGGCCCGGCCGCUCGCUGCUGGCCCAGAGGAGAUGUGGGCCGGCCCAGGAGCCCGGAAGUGGCCCCAGCGUUUCAUUCACGUUGGUGUUACCCUCCCCAGCCCCCCACACAAGAAAACCCCCACCUUCCUAACCAGCUCCGAAGUGGGGACCCCAGUUCCCAGGUGGAGCCAGGCGUGUGCUUCUGAGGCGAGCCACGAGCUGCCCCAUACCCAGAGCCUUUGGGUCCCUGUAGGAAGAGCCCCACACCCCAAUCAGCUGGGGAGGGCCCUGCCACCCCGCGGGGGCUGUUUCGAGGCAGGAAUCUUGUGGUCUGAGUCACCCCACUUCCCACCCCUGCUAUACUCAGACACAGAUUCCUCGGAAGGGCCCUUCUGCCGGGAUACUCGAGGACUCCUGGGUUCUGGUGACACCCUGCUCCUCCUGCUGUCGUGGGGCCGGAAGCCUUCACACGGGGAGCCCCCACGUGGAGCAGGGCUGCAGGGUGUCCAGGCUCAGCACCACCAUCAGGGUCGGCAGGGACAGGCGGGCACCGCGGGUGCUUCGGGCAGUACUCAACCCGUUGUCCCUCGAAGCAGGUUUGCACCCGGGAGACACCAGCACGGCGUGGACACAGGGCCACGUGGAGCCUCAGGGAACACCAGCGCCUGGCAGGCCCCGCUUUUCCUCCACAUGGCGCUCCCCGGGCGUCCAGGCUUCACUCAUGAGCCUGGCAGGCCCGGCACCAGCCCCUGGCAGACCCCGCUUUUCCUCCACAUGGCGCUCCCCGGGCGUCCAGGCUUCACUCAUGAGCCUGGCAGGCCCGGCACCAGCCCCUGGCAGACCCCGCUUUUCCUCCACAUGGCGCUCCCCGGGCGUCCAGGCUUCACUCAUGAGCCUGGCAGGCCCGGCACCAGCCCCUGGCAGACCCCGCUUUUCCUCCACAUGGCGCUCCCCGGGCGUCCAGGCUUCACUUGUGAGCGAGGCUGCGGAGCGCACCUGAUGGACCUCAGGGAGAAGCUGGCGCCACAAAGAUGGGGUGAGCUGUCAGAGGCCAGCAGGAAACCCACCCCUGACUCCUUGAAACACACGCAACGCCCGCGGCGCCAUCCUCCCGAGGCGGCCUGA
RNAcentral lists this long non-coding RNA (1125 nucleotides) under Bos mutus (wild yak). Its description in RNAcentral is "lncRNA (ENSBMUG00000019806.1)". The record is from RNAcentral. Lineage: Eukaryota; Metazoa; Chordata; Mammalia; Artiodactyla; Bovidae.